This 1329-nucleotide ribosomal RNA is filed under the name Salmonella enterica subsp. enterica. Its description in RNAcentral is "bacterial LSU rRNA". It matches the Rfam family "Bacterial large subunit ribosomal RNA", at positions 1223 to 2534 of the family's 2925-position model. The record is from RNAcentral. Lineage: Bacteria; Pseudomonadati; Pseudomonadota; Gammaproteobacteria; Enterobacterales; Enterobacteriaceae.
GUUGGGUAGGGGAGCGUUCUGUAAGCCUGUGAAGGUGUGUCGUGAGGCAUGCUGGAGGUAUCAGAAGUGCGAAUGCUGACAUAAGUAACGAUAAAGCGGGUGAAAAGCCCGCUCGCCGGAAGACCAAGGGUUCCUGUCCAACGUUAAUCGGGGCAGGGUGAGUCGACCCCUAAGGCGAGGCCGAAAGGCGUAGUCGAUGGGAAACGGGUUAAUAUUCCCGUACUUGGUGUUACUGCGAAGGGGGGACGGAGAAGGCUAUGUUGGCCGGGCGACGGUUGUCCCGGUUUAAGCGUGUAGGUGUGUGUUCCAGGUAAAUCCGGUUCACUUUAACACUGAGGCGUGACGACGAGGCACUACGGUGCUGAAGCAACAAAUGCCCUGCUUCCAGGAAAAGCCUCUAAGCAUCAGGUAACAUCAAAUCGUACCCCAAACCGACACAGGUGGUCAGGUAGAGAAUACCAAGGCGCUUGAGAGAACUCGGGUGAAGGAACUAGGCAAAAUGGUGCCGUAACUUCGGGAGAAGGCACGCUGACACGUAGGUGAAGUGAUUUACUCAUGGAGCUGAAGUCAGUCGAAGAUACCAGCUGGCUGCAACUGUUUAUUAAAAACACAGCACUGUGCAAACACGAAAGUGGACGUAUACGGUGUGACGCCUGCCCGGUGCCGGAAGGUUAAUUGAUGGGGUCAGCGCAAGCGAAGCUCCUGAUCGAAGCCCCGGUAAACGGCGGCCGUAACUAUAACGGUCCUAAGGUAGCGAAAUUCCUUGUCGGGUAAGUUCCGACCUGCACGAAUGGCGUAAUGAUGGCCAGGCUGUCUCCACCCGAGACUCAGUGAAAUUGAACUCGCUGUGAAGAUGCAGUGUACCCGCGGCAAGACGGAAAGACCCCGUGAACCUUUACUAUAGCUUGACACUGAACAUUGAGCCUUGAUGUGUAGGAUAGGUGGGAGGCUUUGAAGCGUGGACGCCAGUCUGCAUGGAGCCGACCUUGAAAUACCACCCUUUAAUGUUUGAUGUUCUAACGUGGACCCGUGAUCCGGGUUGCGGACAGUGUCUGGUGGGUAGUUUGACUGGGGCGGUCUCCUCCUAAAGAGUAACGGAGGAGCACGAAGGUUGGCUAAUCCUGGUCGGACAUCAGGAGGUUAGUGCAAUGGCAUAAGCCAGCUUGACUGCGAGCGUGACGGCGCGAGCAGGUGCGAAAGCAGGUCAUAGUGAUCCGGUGGUUCUGAAUGGAAGGGCCAUCGCUCAACGGAUAAAAGGUACUCCGGGGAUAACAGGCUGAUACCGCCCAAGAGUUCAUAUCGACGGCGGUGUUUGGCACCUCGAUGUCG